CCAGAGAACUUAGCAGAGAUGCUUUGGUGCCUUCGGGAACUCUGAGACAGGUGCUGCAUGGCUGUCGUCAGCUCGUGUUGUGAAAUGUUGGGUUAAGUCCCGCAACGAGCGCAACCCUUAUCCUUUGUUGCCAGCGGUUCGGCCGGGAACUCAAAGGAGACUGCCGGUGAUAAACCGGAGGAAGGUGGGGAUGACGUCAAGUCAUCAUGGCCCUUACGGCCAGGGCUACACAUGUGCUACAAUGGCGCAUACAAAGAGAAGCGACCUCGCGAGAGCAAGCGGACCUCAUAAAGUGCGUCGUAGUCCGGAUUGGAGUCUGCAACUCGACUCCAUGAAGUCGGAAUCGCUAGUAAUCGUAGAUCAGAAUGCUACGGUGAAUACGUUCCCGGGCCUUGUACACACCGCCCGUCACACCAUGGGAGUGGGUUGCAAAAGAAGUAGGUAGCUUAACCUUCGGGAGGGCGCUUACCACUUUGUGAUUCAUGACUGGGGUGAAGUCGUAACAAGGUAGGCGUAGCGAG
Molecule: ribosomal RNA, 521 nt
Filed under: uncultured bacterium
Lineage: Bacteria
Description: bacterial SSU rRNA
Rfam family: Bacterial small subunit ribosomal RNA
Source: RNAcentral